CAACCUGCCGACAACACUGGGAUAGCCUUUCGAAAGAAAGAUUAAUACCGGAUGGUAUAGUUUUCCCGCAUGGGAUGAUUAUUAAAGAAUUUCGGUUGUCGAUGGGGAUGCGUUCCAUUAGGCAGUUGGCGGGGUAACGGCCCACCAAACCUACGAUGGAUAGGGGUUCUGAGAGGAAGGUCCCCCGCAUUGGAACUGAGACACGGUCCAAACUCCUACGGGAGGCAGCAGUGAGGAAUAUUGGUCAAUGGACGAGAGUCUGAACCAGCCAAGUAGCGUGAAGGAUGACUGCCCUAUGGGUUGUAAACUUCUUUUAUACGGGAAUAAAGUGAGCCACGUGUGGCUUUUUGUAUGUACCGUAUGAAUAAGGAUCGGCUAACUCCGUGCCAGCAGCCGCGGUAAUACAGAGGAUCCGAGCGUUAUCCGGAUUUAUUGGGUUUAAAGGGAGCGUAGGCGGGUUGUUAAGUCAGUUGUGAAAGUUUGCGGCUCAACCGUAAAAUUGCAGUUGAUACUGGCGACCUUGAGUGCAACAGAGGUAGGCGGAAUUCGUGGUGUAGCGGUGAAAUGCUUAGAUAUCACGAAGAACUCCGAUUG
This 594-nucleotide ribosomal RNA is filed under the name uncultured Bacteroidota bacterium. Its description in RNAcentral is "bacterial SSU rRNA". It matches the Rfam family "Bacterial small subunit ribosomal RNA", at positions 122 to 715 of the family's 1533-position model. Lineage: Bacteria; Pseudomonadati; Bacteroidota. The record is from RNAcentral.